Molecule: long non-coding RNA, 610 nt
Organism: Oxyura jamaicensis (ruddy duck)
Lineage: Eukaryota; Metazoa; Chordata; Aves; Anseriformes; Anatidae
Exons: 4
Source: RefSeq, a predicted model, not a curated record
CUGCAUUUGCUAAGGAAGGAAUAAUGUUCUUGCUUUGUAGUCAGGUGUGCCUGGCAUCCCUGGCUCCCAGAGCACUUGCAGCCAGGGAGCACGGAACAGGAAAGUGACAGUUGUGAAGAAGCGCUGGUGGUGGUCAUGUUAUGGUGAUUUGUAGGGUUGGUGACAGCGAGGGGCCUCUGCGGCCCAUGGAAGCCAUGGAGCUUCAGAGACUGUAAAGCAAAACCACACUUGGCUGGGAAUCAAGUCCUGAAGACUUUACCCAGUUCUUAACCAGUCCUUGUGCAAGAGAAGAGCAUCUUGGGUGCAGAUAUUACAGAAGUCUGCAAAGCAGAAGAACACCAAGAGAGCAAAGGCAGGAGCUGCACCCGUGGCGGCGUUCAGCUGCCAGGCCUUCGCACCUCGGGACGGCCGCUGCGAUAGCAGCACGCGAGGAACGAGAUGCGCUGGAGGUGAAUCGUGCUGCAGAUGGAUGCUGAGCGUCGUUUGGGGACAAAGAGAUGCAGAUGUCUCGGCUGGAUGGAGCAGCAAUGGGAGGGACAGGACUCUUGUUGAUUUGUUCAAAGUUGCCUCUGCAGUGGACAGUCUUAGGAAGCCACGGCCAGGUGAUGAA